This 463-nucleotide ribosomal RNA is filed under the name Vreelandella stevensii. RNAcentral describes it as "partial 16S ribosomal RNA". It matches the Rfam family "Bacterial small subunit ribosomal RNA", at positions 338 to 795 of the family's 1533-position model. The record is from RNAcentral. Lineage: Bacteria; Pseudomonadati; Pseudomonadota; Gammaproteobacteria; Oceanospirillales; Halomonadaceae.
CCUAGGAGGCAGCAGUGGGGAAUAUUGGACAAUGGGCGAAAGCCUGAUCCAGCCAUGCCGCGUGUGUGAAGAAGGCCUUCGGGUUGUAAAGCACUUUCAGUGGGGAAGAAAGCCUUGGGGCUAAUACCCUCGAGGAAGGACAUCACCCACAGAAGAAGCACCGGCUAACUCCGUGCCAGCAGCCGCGGUAAUACGGAGGGUGCGAGCGUUAAUCGGAAUUACUGGGCGUAAAGCGCGCGUAGGCGGUCUGAUAAGCCGGUUGUGAAAGCCCCGGGCUCAACCUGGGAACGGCAUCCGGAACUGUCAGGCUAGAGUGCAGGAGAGGAAGGUAGAAUUCCCGGUGUAGCGGUGAAAUGCGUAGAGAUCGGGAGGAAUACCAGUGGCGAAGGCGGCCUUCUGGGCUGACACUGACGCUGAGGUGCGAAAGCGUGGGUAGCAAACAGGAUUAGAUACCCGAGUAGUC